This 357-nucleotide long non-coding RNA is filed under the name Citrus x clementina. RNAcentral's name for it is "Citrus clementina (C. clementina) long non-coding RNA (CCLE_LNC004582)". The record is from RNAcentral. Lineage: Eukaryota; Viridiplantae; Streptophyta; Magnoliopsida; Sapindales; Rutaceae.
UCGCUGAGUCUCUGGUAUCAAUCAUGCUGCUCUGUGUAGCAGAAAUUAGUUGAAUUUUGGAUUUUCACAAUCAUGUUCUUGAUUUAAAUGGAAAUUAAUGCUGGUGGACAAAUUCGCAAUGGUUGUACGUAUAUUUCCAUUGCUUGAGGUCUUGUCUGAUACAGCAUGAGCUAACCUGAUCAUCUUUUGAUAUUCAGUAACAGGAGAGAUGUAUGGUCUGCAGGAGCCAAUGAUGGGCAAGUGAUACCUGAGGCCGGUGUCUAUUUGAAGGUAAAAUGGGCGAUGGUUCUAGGUUUCAUAUUAGGUUUUUGAUAGUCUUGAGUAAUUGCCCUACUAUCUUCAUAUUUAAAAAACAGG